UUCGCAAUGCCCGAAAGGGUGACGAAGCGACGCCGCGUGGGUGAAGAAGGCCUUCGGGUUGUAAAACCCUGUCAGGAGUUAUGAAAUGUAAGUGCGCUAAUAUCGUGCUUAUUUGACAAAGGCUCCAAAGGAAGCCACGGCUAACUCUGUGCCAGCAGCCGCGGUAAUACAGAGCUGGCGAGCGUUGUUCGGAAUUAUUGGGCGUAAAGAGCACGUAGGUGGGUUUGCAAGUCAGAUGUGAAAGCCUUCUGUUCAACGGGAGAAUUGCAUCUGAAACUGCUAAUCUUGAGUAUAGGAGGGGAGAAUGGAACUUCUGGUGGAGCGGUGAAAUGCGUAGAUAUCAGAAGGAACGCCGGCGGCGAAAGCGAUUCCCUGGCCUAUUACUGACACUCAGUGUGCGAAAGCUAGGGGAGCAAACGGGAUUAGAUACCCCGGUAGUCCUAGCCGUAAACGAUGGGCACUAAGUAGA
Molecule: ribosomal RNA, 469 nt
Filed under: uncultured bacterium
Lineage: Bacteria
Description: bacterial SSU rRNA
Rfam family: Bacterial small subunit ribosomal RNA
Source: RNAcentral